RNAcentral lists this ribosomal RNA (451 nucleotides) under uncultured bacterium. RNAcentral's name for it is "bacterial SSU rRNA". It matches the Rfam family "Bacterial small subunit ribosomal RNA", at positions 330 to 794 of the family's 1533-position model. The record is from RNAcentral.
ACCAGACUCCUACGGGAGGCAGCAGUGGGGAAUAUUGGGCAAUGGAGGCGACUCUGACCCAGCAACGCCGCGUGAAUGAUGAAGGUCUUCGGAUUGUAAAGUUCUUUUCUAAGGGAAGAAGAAAGUGACGGUACCUUAGGAAUAAGCCUCGGCUAACUACGUGCCAGCAGCCGCGGUAAUACGUAGGAGGCAAGCGUUAUCCGGAAUGACUGGGCGUAAAGGGUGCGUAGGUGGUUUGACAAGUUGGUAGCGUAACUCCGGAGCUCAACUUCGGAACUACUACCAAAACUGUUGGACUCGAGUGCAGGAGGGGCAACUGGAAUUUCUAGUGUAGCGGUGGAAUGCGUAGAUAUUAGGAAGAACACCGGUGGCGAAGGCGAGGUGCUGGACUGUAACUGACACUGAGGCACGAAAGCGUGGGGAGCAAACAGGAUUAGAUACCCUGGUACGA